UACGAAGGGGGCUAGCGUUGCUCGGAAUCACUGGGCGUAAAGGGUGCGUAGGCGGGUUUUUAAGUCAGAGGUGAAAUCCUGGAGCUCAACUCCAGAACUGCCUUUGAUACUGAAAGUCUUGAGUAUGGGAGAGGUGAGUGGAACUGCGAGUGUAGAGGUGAAAUUCGUAGAUAUUCGCAAGAACACCAGUGGCGAAGGCGGCUCCCUGGCCCAUAACUGACGCUGAGGCACGAAAGCGUGGGGAGCAAACAGG
Molecule: ribosomal RNA, 253 nt
Filed under: uncultured bacterium
Lineage: Bacteria
Description: partial 16S ribosomal RNA
Rfam family: Bacterial small subunit ribosomal RNA
Source: RNAcentral